UACGAAGGGUGCAAGCUUUAAUCGGAAUUACUGGGCGUAAAGCGCGCGUAGGUGGUUCAGCAAGUUGAAGGUGAAAUCCCCGGGCUCAACCUGGGAACUGCCUCCAAAACUACUGAGCUAGAGUACGGUAGAGGGUAGUGGAAUUUCCUGUGUAGCGGUGAAAUGCGUAGAUAUAGGAAGGAACACCAGUGGCGAAGGCGACUACCUGGACUGAUACUGACACUGAGGUGCGAAAGCGUGGGGAGCAAACAGG
RNAcentral lists this ribosomal RNA (253 nucleotides) under uncultured bacterium. RNAcentral describes it as "partial 16S ribosomal RNA". It matches the Rfam family "Bacterial small subunit ribosomal RNA", at positions 524 to 776 of the family's 1533-position model. The record is from RNAcentral.